This 21-nucleotide transfer RNA is filed under the name Ceyx lepidus. RNAcentral describes it as "partial tRNA-Arg". The record is from RNAcentral. RNAcentral also lists the same sequence under 13 other names. Lineage: Eukaryota; Metazoa; Chordata; Aves; Coraciiformes; Alcedinidae.
AAAGUUAGUCUAACCAAGACA